GCCUUGCCCAAUGCGCCGUUCGCACGCCGGGUAGGAAAAUUGGGGGCCGUCGUGGCCACUCCUUGCUCCUUGCGGCACCCAACCAUCCUAUGGAAUCCGACGCAAGGCUGAAAUUGGGCGCACAGUUACCGGGCUGCGGCGAAUUGCUCGUCGUGGCCGGAGCGCCGCCGUGGAACCGCAUACAGCCGUGGGCCAGACUUUCUGCGUCGCCAUCAUCGGUGAGGACCUCUUCUCCGAUCUCGCCCUUAUCUCUGCUUCGUGUAGCAUCCGUCGAUUGGGAUUUGUCAAAUCGAGUCGUUGCACCGCCCCCUUCGACGAGAGCGCGGCCGCGUGUGUUCUGCGCCGUCGCGCGUCUCUAGCCGAGGAGGAAGACGAGUGGUGAUGAGCUGAGCCGUGAGAUAUGGAUGGGCGGCUCAGAUUAAUAGCCUCGUACCGGUUUGGCUCGGUUAGAUCGUGACCGCAGAUCUGUGAGUGAGCGGGCAAGGUUGGUCUGGAACCGUAUAAAAUCUCGAGCGUUGGAUCUUAUGUGGGUGGCCGGAUCGUGCGGCUGAGUGAGGGCGUGCGGAUCGUGGGCCGUAGAGCGUAGAUUCUGGAUCCAACGAAUGUGAGAGGAUGCGGGUUUAUAAUCGGUAUUGAUCUAAUCUGGGCCGUAGCCUCUAAAUCCAGCGGCUCUGGUUGCUUCUUACCUCUUCGGCUGACAACUUUGCUAAAAAGUCAUCGUGCUUUUACGAAUUAGAACCCGCCGUCCUCGGUAGUAGGCAAAACUUGCAAUAGGGUCCCUGGACUUUUUAAAUAUAUCCCUGGAAACCUUUACAGAGUUAAAAUAAUAAUUAGGAAACCUGGAAACUUGUUUAUGGCAUAACUUACUCGUUUUAAAUCCGUUUUACUCCAUUCCAGUUGCGUUAGCUUCAUAAAAAUAUUCUCUACAUACUAAAAACAUUAAUCAUACCAUAUCUCAUACUUUUAUAGUUAGAUAUUCAUUUAACCUAUGUUUAGUAGAUUAAACUCUCUAAAUCAAAGUUAAUAUGUUUAUAAUUAUAGUUUGGCUAAAAUAUGAUCCCUAAUUAUAUUAUGAUUUAACUUAAAGUUGAAUUAAUUAUUCAUUUAGGUUAUUUUCUCAAAUGAUCUAUUAAAUCAACAUAAGGUCUAGUUUUAAGUGCUUAAAUUGUGUGGAUCUUUGGAAAACCAUAACUUCAUAACCGUAACCCCAAAUUUAGCGGUUCUCGAUCCCACGAUCUCGUAGCGACACGCAGAGUAUUAUUACAUAGUUUGUUCUUAUGUUUGGUGUGAUGUUUAUUUUGCCUAUACCAUGUUUGUUUGUAUUGCUACGAUUAGCAGUGAGGUCAUGAGUCAUCUGAAGAUCAUUCUGGUACCCGGAAUCUCAAGUCCCAAGCAAGUUGUGCCCUUGAUCACUUCUUUUUACCCAGUCAUGUUCUGAUUAAUCAUAAUGAUCUACAUAGGUUAAUUUUGAUGGGACCCAACAGGUUACCCUAGUUUGAUUAUCUUUAUACCUUGACUCCACUAAACUUUUUGGGUAGUACCUGCUAUUGCUUUAUGUGGUUUUGGGUAUGAAGAUUACACUAUUCAUGAUUAUACUUUUGUUAUCAGUUGUUAUUUAUUGUUCAUGUUAAGAUCAUUAUGUUAAUUGGAACAUGGAGAACCACCCGGGAAAACAGUGCUACCACAAGGGUUUAUGGACGCCCUUGGCUGACUAAUUAGGAAAGCUAGUGGAGGACUACCUUACCCGAAAGGGGCAAGGGCAGUAGGGGAGUGGUCAGUGUAGGGAGGCCCUUGGGAUGAUUUUGCUGCGAUGGCGGUCAUGCGGGGGAUUCCUGCAUUGGAGCUUCCUAUAAACUGUAGCGGGUUUUCUGAAGCUAGUGGAACUUUUUAAAGGCCUCAUAGUGUUACCCUACCUCGCCUCCUCGGUAGAGGUGUAUGGGAUUGGCCGUCUCUUGGCAGAUGGGUAACAUGACUUGUGGGUAAAGAUGCGCAACCUCUGCAGAGUGUAAAACUGGUAUACUAGCCGUGCUCACGGUCAUGAGCAGCUCGGACACUCACAUGAUUAAAUUAUGGAACUUAAACUCAAUUUGUCAUAUGCAUUGCAUCGCAGGUGAGGUUGUUACUUUUGUUCUACUACUUAAUUGGGUUGGUAUUUACUUAUACUUAGUAAUUGCUAAUAAAAUUUUGACCAACUUUAAAAGCAAUGCUCAGCUCUAACCAUCCUCUUUGGUAAGCCUUACACUUCACAUGAACUCCCACCUUUGGCGAGUUCAUGCACAUUAUUCCCCACAACUUGUUGAGCGAUGAACGUAUGUGAGCUCACUCUUGCUGUCUCACACCCCCCACAGGUCAAGAACAGGUACCGCAGGAUGAGGCGCAUGGAGGAUGCUGUGGCGAGUUCGUGAGUGGUCUAGGCCGUCGUCUCCCAGUCAACUUUGGGUUGCUGGACCGUUGUCUCCUUAUAUUGUAAUUAUUUAUUUAAUUAUUUUGUAUAGAACUCCUAUUAUAUAGUAAAGAUGUGACAUUCGAUCAUGUGCCAUGAUUCAUCAUAUGUGUGAGACUUGGUCCCAGCACACCUGGUGAUUAUGUUCGCGCCCGGGUCUUGGUGCCCCUAAAACCCGGGUGUGACAGAAGUGGUAUCAGAGGAAUGUUCACUGUAGGAUGAAACCUAGAUAGAACUGGACAACCUUUAUUUACUUACCUUUGCUACUCUCAUUCUUUUCUAAACUUUUCUUAAUCUUUCCUCAUCUAUUUCCGCUUUACUCUGAUUACUCUUACCUUUUCACUCUAAAGACAAAAGUGGAUUUCACACUUUGAAAUCAUGUACCUAAAGUGACUUUUAGGAAUAGGAAACCUAAUCUUAGGAACAAAAACAAAACUAUUUUUUAUCUAUAUGCUUGAAUGUUUGUCCUUAUGAUACUUGUCUGAUUUGCAUCUUUGAUUGAGUGUGAUGAGUUGUGGAGUAAUGUCCACAAUUACAUCUGCAUAUAUAGACAUAAAUAUAAUAAAAUUCAUAAAAUAACUAGACAAACUAGAUUAUCCCUUAUUAAAGUAUCUAGCCUAACAAUAUCUAUCUCAUCUUAAAAGAUUCUAUCCUACACUCAUAGAUCCAUCUUAUCUUAAAAGGUACUCUAUCUUGAAAAGAUGUUAUCUUAUCCUAAUAGAUCCAACUGACCUCAUAUCAUAACCGAUCUAAUCUAGAUCCCAUCUAAUCUAAUAUUAUCUAAACUAAAGUGAGUUAUUAAUAGGUUAGUAAAUCUGGUGAUAUGGGUUAGACACUGCUUCUACAAACAUAACUUAACCUAAAUUAAUGUAUUAUACCAACUCGUCUGUGAACUACAACAUAACCUACAUCGUAGCCUGACUAGUCCAUUUGUCCCAGAAGCAAAGUAAAAGUCUGUUCAAACCUACCUACCUCGUGUACCCCGGCUAUCUUAACUAUAUGUCCUUAGCCAUAUGUCCUUAACUUGGAUGGCAACUCCAAGAUUAAAGGCCAAAGAAGACCAACCACGUCAAAGGAGGAUAAGCAUCAACUCAAGUCUUCAAAGAUCAAGUUGGAUCGCCAGAGGAAUCAAUAUCCAGAGUUUAGGAAUCGAGAUGAAGUCUUACCUUAUUAUACCCUUGCCACAACCUCUACUUGCCAUAACCGUACCUCAACUGACCUAAUAGAUGGCUAGACAUACAACAUCCAUAUUUUCCAAAUCAUCUACUAACUAUUAUGUAAAAACUUGAACAAAACUUUGAAUUCCAAAACCAAAUGAGAAACUGAAAAAAAUAGACCAAACCUGUUGUGUCCCUUUUCUUACAAAUCUCGGGGACGAGAUUUCUGUUAAGGGGGGUAGGAUUUGUAAAGCCCAAAAUUUGUAUUAAAAUAAUAAUAAUAAUAAUAAUAAUAAUAUAAAUGAGUAAAUACUAUUCUGUAGGGUUUUCGGAUUAUGGAACCCUCGGAGAUCAUUGAUGUCUUUUCUUUGUGCAUACUCAAUUAUGGGAACUAAAGUAGUCAAAUAGCAAAUAAAUAAAUAUAGAAAUAUGCAUUCCAUGCUGAGGUUAUUGUAUUUGUGCAUUUGCGGUUAAAUUAACGAGACAAGUUUAAAUAAAAAAUAAUAAUAAUAGAAUUUAAAAAUGGAGGAAAGAAGAGAGAAGAGGAGGAAAAGAAUAUACAUUAUAAAAAAUAUUAUAAAUAAAUAAUAGGAGUUUUCUUCAUGUUAGGAUUCUUAUUAGAUAUAUUGGAAAGUUGAAGUUCAAACAUGAUUUAAAUUUGAAUUGAAGCUUCAGAUUUGAAAAAAGAAAUAAGAAAAGAAAAUAUAAAAAGAAAGAAAAAGGCUCACCUAAACCUCAUUGGGUCGAUUUCUUCCCCCCGGCCCAACUCCCCCUUUUCCCUUCUCUUCACCGCGCCGACCCAUCUCUGCUUUGUAAGCCCCGCCGGCCCAUCUCCUCAUCCACACUCUAACCCAGACGGCCACUUACAGGUGGGCCCCACCGUCCAGAAGCAUCAUCUCCACCAAACUGGCGUAGCUCAUGGCUCACGACGGGAUUCCCCUGGUCUGCGUCAACAGGGGUUGUUGGGAUUUCAUCCUUCAAAUCCCUAUUAAAUCGGCCGGAUUUUCCUCCCUUGAGACUAUAAAACCGGAUCGCUGGUCGAACCCAGUUGCCCACCGAAUCAGAACAUCGCCGCCUUGCCCAAUGCGUCGUUCGCACGCCGGGUAGGAAAAUUGGGGGCCGUCGUGGCCGCUCCUUGCGGCACCCAACCAUCCUAUGGAAUCUGGUAGCGGUUCUCGAUCCCACGAUCUCGUAGCGACACGCAGAGUAUUAUUACAUAGUUUGUUCUUAUGUUUGGUGUGAUGUUUAUUUUGCCUAUACCAUGUUUGUUUGUAUUGCUACGAUUAGCAGUGAGGUCACGAGUCAUCUGA
RNAcentral lists this long non-coding RNA (4910 nucleotides) under Zea mays. Its description in RNAcentral is "long non-coding RNA (ZMAY_LNC001217)". Lineage: Eukaryota; Viridiplantae; Streptophyta; Magnoliopsida; Poales; Poaceae. The record is from RNAcentral.